RNAcentral lists this ribosomal RNA (94 nucleotides) under Xenosphaeropsis pyriputrescens. Its description in RNAcentral is "Sphaeropsis pyriputrescens partial 28S ribosomal RNA". Lineage: Eukaryota; Fungi; Ascomycota; Leotiomycetes; Phacidiales; Phacidiaceae. The record is from RNAcentral.
AAAUCAGUGGCGGUGCCGUCUGGCUUCAAGCGUAGUAAUACUUCUCGCUCUGGAGCCCGGGCGAGCGUCCCGCCAGAACCCCCCAUAUUCUUUC